Molecule: ribosomal RNA, 510 nt
Filed under: Triticum aestivum (bread wheat)
Lineage: Eukaryota; Viridiplantae; Streptophyta; Magnoliopsida; Poales; Poaceae
Description: partial small subunit ribosomal RNA
Source: RNAcentral
AUGGUUUUUGAAGACGAGAGCAGCGACGAGAACUCAAGCCCCCCGUACAUGCACUCCGAAACCUCCACCGAUGGGCUCAAUCAGAAAGGUCAGAAUUGUGGGUUUGUUCAGUGGGUUGAUGAGCAGUGGCCCCCAACAAUGGAGAAUGCAUUGCUGAAGCUUUGGUCAAUGGUUGAAGAGAGCAAGUCUGCUAGGGUGGAUGAUAAUCUUCAAAGUUCUUCAACUAUUCACCAUUUGACAGAACAAAAUAAGAAGCUGGAUGCACAAUAUGACAAGUUAGUGAAAGAUGUGCAUCAACUUGUGGACUUUCAGCAGGAUAGGGUUGUGGAUUUCAGUUAUCUGCAGUCAGCUGUCACAUAUCAGCACCAAUGCAGAGCUGAAUUGGUGGCUGGUAUGAAUGCAGAAAUGGCAAAGAAAGAUGCAGCUCUAGAGAAGCUUCAACAGAAGUUUGAAAUCCUGUGCAACCUGACAAGUGCUCAAGCAACUGCCAUCCAAAACCUCAAGUUGUAG